This is a non-coding RNA of Pantherophis guttatus, 422 nucleotides long. NCBI's taxonomy places the organism in Eukaryota, Metazoa, Chordata, Lepidosauria, Squamata, Colubridae. The record is from RefSeq and is a predicted model, not a curated record.
GCGGGCGGGCUCUUUCCUCCGCGCGGAAAGUGGGAGCGUUCGGAGACGGAAAUGUUUACAGUCCGCUGAGCGGAGGAGGGGAAGCGUUGCGUCUUCUCUCGCCAGCCAAACAGCCCGGAGUUCAUUAUAAAUGCGCGAGAUAGGUUAUCGCAAAAGCACUAAGGAUAAUCUGAAAGUGACAUAAUCCAUAGUUAUGCUGGCUGUCCAAUAAUAAACCUUGUAUGCUCCAGAUGGAGGAUAGACUUGAAAAUGACUACACUACAUAUUUUGGACUAACUAUAUUUGCAUAAUACACUGAAUCACAAUCUAUCCAAUAAUUUUGAAUAUGUUGUACAAUAUCUCAUUUUGCAGUUAGAUUAUGCUUCCAAGUGUUGUGUGCAUCCAGAAAAUUGGUUAAAUAAAACAAGAUUCAGUUAACUAUG